GAUGAACGCUAGCGGCAGGCUUAACACAUGCAAGUCGAGGGGUAGCGCGGUAGCAAUACUGGCGACGACCGGCAAACGGGUGCGGAACACGUACUGAACCUACCUUGAUCUGGGGCAUAGCCCCGGAGAAAUCCGGAUUAACUCCCCAUAAUAUAGAUGAGUGGCAUCACUUGACUAUUAAAAAUUUAUUGGAUCGAGAUGGCAGUGCGUCCCAUUAGCUAGUUGGUAGGGUAACGGCCUACCAAGGCAACGAUGGGUAGCUGGUGUGAG
RNAcentral lists this ribosomal RNA (270 nucleotides) under uncultured bacterium. RNAcentral describes it as "partial 16S ribosomal RNA". It matches the Rfam family "Bacterial small subunit ribosomal RNA", at positions 28 to 296 of the family's 1533-position model. The record is from RNAcentral.